GAUGAACGCUGGCGGCGUGCCUAAUACAUGCAAGUCGAGCGAACAGACGAGGAGCUUGCUCCUCUGACGUUAGCGGCGGACGGGUGAGUAACACGUGGAUAACCUACCUAUAAGACUGGGAUAAAUUCGGGAAACCGGAGCUAAUACCGGAUAAUAUAUUGAACCGCAUGGUUCAAUAGUGAAAGACGGUUUUGCUGUCACUUAUAGAUGGAUCCGCGCCGCAUUAGCUAGUUGGUAAGGUAACGGCUUACCAAGGCAACGAUGCGUAGCCGACCUGAGAGGGUGAUCGGCCACACUGGAACUGAGACACGGUCCAGACGCCUACGGGAGGCAGCAGUAGGGAAUCUUCCGCAAUGGGCGAAAGCCUGACGGAGCAACGCCGCGUGAGUGAUGAAGGUCUUCGGAUCGUAAAACUCUGUUAUUAGGGAAGAACAAAUGUGUAAGUAACUAUGCACGUCUUGACGGUACCUAAUCAGAAAGCCACGGCUAACUACGUG
This 497-nucleotide ribosomal RNA is filed under the name uncultured bacterium. RNAcentral describes it as "partial 16S ribosomal RNA". It matches the Rfam family "Bacterial small subunit ribosomal RNA", at positions 28 to 507 of the family's 1533-position model. The record is from RNAcentral.